UACGAAGGGGGCUAGCGUUGCUCGGAAUCACUGGGCGUAAAGCGCACGUAGGCGGAUUGCUAAGUCAGGGGUGAAAUCCUGGAGCUCAACUCCAGAACUGCCUUUGAUACUGGCGAUCUUGAGUCCGGGAGAGGUGAGUGGAACUGCGAGUGUAGAGGUGAAAUUCGUAGAUAUUCGCAAGAACACCAGUGGCGAAGGCGGCUCUCUGGGACGGUACUGACGCUGAGACGCGAAAGCGUGGGGAGCGAACAGG
This 253-nucleotide ribosomal RNA is filed under the name uncultured bacterium. Its description in RNAcentral is "partial 16S ribosomal RNA". It matches the Rfam family "Bacterial small subunit ribosomal RNA", at positions 524 to 776 of the family's 1533-position model. The record is from RNAcentral.